GUAUUCUCAAAAAACAAGUUACAGAACGCUACAAAAAUGAUACAGAGAAGAUUAGUAUGGCCCCUGAGCAAGAAUGACAUGCCAAUACAUGAAGCAGUCUAUAGUUUU
This is a small nuclear RNA of Bubalus bubalis (water buffalo), 108 nucleotides long. The record is from RefSeq and is a predicted model, not a curated record. Lineage: Eukaryota; Metazoa; Chordata; Mammalia; Artiodactyla; Bovidae.